GGUCAAGUUAUUAAGGGUGCAGGGCGGAUGCCUUGGCACUAGGAGCCGAUGAAGGACGUGAUAAGCUGCGAUAAGCUUCGGGGAGUUGCACGUAAACUUUGAUCCGAAGAUUUCCGAAUGAGGAAACUCACUUAGAGUAAUGUCUAAGUAUCAUUAAGUGAAUACAUAGCUUAAUGAGGGGAACUCAGGGAACUGAAACAUCUAAGUACCUGAAGGAAGAGAAAGAAAUUCGAUUCCGUAAGUAGCGGCGAGCGAACGCGGAUUAGCCCAAACCAAUAAAGUUUUCUUUAUUGGGGUUGCGGACAUAUCAUAACGAAGAGGUAUCGUAAUUGAAGAGGUUUGGAAAGACCCACCACAGAAGGUAAUAGUCCUGUAUGUUAAACGAGAAGACUUCAGAUAUGAUCCAGAGUACCACGGGACACGUGAAACCCUGUGGGAAGCAGGAGGGACCACCCUCCAAGGCUAAAUACUACCUAGUGACCGAUAGCGUAUAGUACCGUGAGGGAAAGGUGAAAAGAACCCCGGGAGGGGAGUGAAAUAGAACCUGAAACCCUGCACUUACAAGCUGUGGAAGCACAUUUCUUGUGUGACCGCGUACUUUUUGUAGAACGGGCCAACGAGUUACGUUAAGUAGCAAGGUUAAGCACUUAAGGUGCGGAGCCGUAGCGAAAGCGAGUUUUAACUGAGCGUUCAGUUACUUGACGUAGACCCGAAACCGGGCGACCUACCCAUGAGCAGGAUGAAGCGAAAGUAAAAUUUCGUGGAGGUCCGAACCCACGAGCGUUGAAAAGCUCGGGGAUGACUUGUGGGUAGCGGUGAAAUUCCAAUCGAGCCCGGAGAUAGCUGGUUCUCCCCGAAAUAGCUUUAGGGCUAGCCUCAAGGUGAGAGAUACGGAGGUAGAGCACUGAAUGUCCUAGGGGGUAUUGCACCUACCGAAGACUAUCAAACUCCGAAUGCCGUCAUCUUAUACUUGGGAGUCAGACUGUGGGUGAUAAGAUUCAUAGUCGAAAGGGCAACAGCCCAGAUCGUCAGCUAAGGUCCCUAAAUGUAAGUUAAGUGGUAAAGGAUGUGGGAUUGCACAGACAACCAGGAUGUUGGCUUAGAAGCAGCCACUCAUUCAAAGAGUGCGUAAUAGCUCACUGGUCGAGUGAUCCUGCGCCGAAGAUUUCCGGGGCUAAAACUUACUACCGAAGCUACGGCAUCAGUAAUGAUGGGUAGGGGAGCUUCCCAUACGGGUUGAAGCAUGACCGUAAGGACAUGUGGACAGUAUGGGAGUGAGAAUGUUGGCAUGAGUAGCGAGAUGUGGGUGAGAAUCCCACAGGCCGUAAACCCAAGGUUUCCAGGGGGAGGUUCGUCCGCCCUGGGUUAGUCGGGACCUAAGCUGAGGCCGAAAGGCGUAGGUGAUGGACAACAGGUUGAUAUUCCUGUACUACCGAUAACCGUUUGAGAGAAGGGAUGACACAGUAGGAUAAGCUAAGCACACUGUUGGUUAUGUGUGCCCAAGCAUUGAGGCAGUCAAAGUAGGCAAAUCCGCUUUGAUAAUGCUGGGAUGUGAUGGGGAGCGAAAUUUAGUAGCGAAGUAGCUGAUUUCACACUGUCAAGAAAAGUCUCUAUCGAGGUUAAAGGUACCCGUACCGCAAACCGACACAGGUGGGUGAGGAGAGUAUCCUAAGGCCAGCGAGAGAACUGUUGUUAAGGAACUCGGCAAAAUGACCCCGUAACUUAGGGAUAAGGGGUGCCACCAUCAGGUGGCCGCAGAGAAUAGGCCCAAGCGACUGUUUACCAAAAACAUAGGUUUCUGCUAAGUCGCAAGACGAUGUAUAGGAGCUGACGCCUGCCCGGUGCUGGAAGGUUAAGGGGAUCUGUUAGAGCAAUCGAAGCAGUGAACUUAAGCCCCAGUAAACGGCGGCCGUAACUAUAACGGUCCUAAGGUAGCGAAAUUCCUUGUCGGGUAAGUUCCGACCCGCACGAAAGGCGUAACGAUUUGGGCACUGUCUCAACAACAGACUCGGUGAAAUUGUAAUUCCGGUGAAGAUGCCGGAUACCUGCGACAGGACGGAAAGACCCCAUGGAGCUUUACUGUAGCUUGACAUUGGGUCUUGGUACUACAUGUACAGGAUAGGUGGGAGGCUUUGAAACCAGGACGCCAGUUUUGGCGGAGCCAUCCUUGGGAUACCACCCUUGUAGUACUGGGACUCUAACCAUAGGCCAUGAAUCUGGUCUUGGGACACUGUCAGGUGGGCAGUUUGACUGGGGCGGUCGCCUCCCAAAAGGUAACGGAGGCGCUCAAAGGUUCUCUCAGUACGGUCGGAAAUCGUACGUAGAGUGUAAAGGCAAAAGAGAGCUUGAUUGCAAGACAUACAGGUCGAGCAAGGAUGAAAAUCGGACUUAGUGAUCCGGUGGUUCUGCGUGGAAGGGCCAUCGCUCAACGGAUAAAAGCUACCCUGGGGAUAACAGGCUUAUCUCCCCCAAGAGUCCACAUCGACGGGGAGGUUUGGCACCUCGAUGUCGGCUCAUCACAUCCUGGGGCUGUAGUAGGUCCCAAGGGUUGGGCUGUUCGCCCAUUAAAGUGGUACGCGAGCUGGGUUCAGAACGUCGUGAGACAGUUCGGUCCCUAUCCGUCGCAGGCGUAGGAAAUUUGAGAAGACCUGUCCUUAGUACGAGAGGACCGGGAUGGACGUACCUCUGGUGUACCAGUUGUUCUGCCAAGGGCAUGGCUGGGUAGCUAUGUGCGGAAUGGAUAAGCGCUGAAAGCAUCUAAGCGCGAAGCCAACUUCAAGAUAAGAUUUCCCACCGCAAGGGUAAGACCCCAGAAAGACUAUCUGGUUGAUAGGUCGAAGGUGUAAGUGCAGCAAUGUAUUUAGCUUAUCGAUACUAAUAGGUCGAGGACUUGACCAA
Molecule: ribosomal RNA, 2898 nt
Filed under: Clostridioides difficile
Lineage: Bacteria; Bacillati; Bacillota; Clostridia; Peptostreptococcales; Peptostreptococcaceae
Description: 23S ribosomal RNA
Rfam family: Bacterial large subunit ribosomal RNA
Source: RNAcentral